Molecule: long non-coding RNA, 8904 nt
Filed under: Zostera marina
Lineage: Eukaryota; Viridiplantae; Streptophyta; Magnoliopsida; Alismatales; Zosteraceae
Description: long non-coding RNA (ZMAR_LNC001082)
Source: RNAcentral
AAACACGGCUUUUUCUUCUUCUAAUGAAGUCAAAAAAGGCGUCUCUCUUUUUUAUAAAUAAGUCUUUAUCGGUGUUCUUGGAUUCUUCAUUGAAUCUCUUUUUAUUCUGAUUUCUCAUGGGGAAGGUAACUGUGCUGCAUAUCGGAGAUGAUGAGUCUCCGUUUCAAGGGAUGGACAUGACAGGAUUCAUCAUCGUCUUGGCUAUUCUAAUUCUUCUCUUCCAACUAUGUGCACCGAACCCAUCAAGGCGCAAACCAAGAACCUUCUUGGUCCGCCGAAGGAUGUGGUGAAUAUAGACGGACUGUCAAUUGUAGACGGAUGGUGUUACGGAUUUCAGAAUAAGAAAAGUAAGUAGUUAGGUAGUAACUAUGAGAGGUGUAAUCUGUAUUCAAUUGAAAUACUAUUUUCAUAUUUCUUAAGUGUGAUUUUUAGAUUUUGGGGGUUUAUAUUCUAUUCUACUUAUAUUGCAGUUUAUAAUGGGAAAUUGGGAAUAAAUGAAUAAUUUAUGGGAUUUUUUUUAAUGUAUGCUAAAAUUAGAUAAUAGAUGCCAUGAUAGGAUCAUCAAAAGCCUCAAAUCUGAUGAUCAUGAUACACAAUCAAUAGAUCAUAAUUUAUACACAUUAAAGUUCUGAAUAUGAAGAUCAAAAUUUAAUCAAUAUAUAUCUUUUUUUUAUAUAUAAUCAAAGGUAUUUUUUUACAAUUAUAGAAAACUUCGACAGUCACAUAAUAUAUCAUAAUAUCAUUGUAGUAAAAUUUAAAAAAAAUAGGUCGAUACUUAUCUCCUUAAUAAUAUAAAUCUUUAUAAACCUUAAUAGUUACCAUGAGUAAUUAAACUAAUCUCCUUAUAUUAUUUAAUGUAGAUCUCACAUCAGAUAAGUUGAGUUUGAAUUAUAAAAGACUUAACGAUUAAAAGGUCGAUUUAGCCUAACAGUAGAAACAUUGCAGUCAUUUCAGACUGUCAAAUUCAGACAAGGAUAUUUUGACUUGGAAACAUUCAAAGUAAACGAGUAAUCUUGAUUCGGCCCACUCUCUUGUUGCGCGUAUGAAAAUAAGCUUCUCCAUUUUAACUUUAUGAAGGUUGCAAGCUCAUUCAAUAAAAUGCGGAUAAUCUUAUGAUGGAAGGUAUUUUUAUAAAUAAAUUUAUCAAUACUUUGAAUUUUUCAACUAUCAAAGGUUUAAAAGUUGAUAUACAAAGUAAAAUUUUAAUUACACAGAAAGAUUAGCUCAAUAGUCUACAAUAACUAUUAAGGUUUUUGAUAAUUUAAUAUUUUAAUUUAGUUGUAUAUGCAACUGAUAAUUUAGUUCACAAUUGAUAAUUCAAGAUUCUAGUGUGUUACAAAGUUAUUUAAAUGAAAUGGAAACUACAAUUAACAACUAACUAAUCAUUGUUUAUUGCAAUCAACUAUGAUUAAAGCAAUGACAAUUAUUUCUUCUAAUACCCCCUCCUAAUUGUUGUAGCUUGUAGAAUUAUCAGAAUUAUUGUGAAAAUUAUCUUACAAGUCCUUGUAAAACAUAUAUAUCCUAUCACUUAAUAGCUAACAACAUCAUUUCAAAUAUACACCUACUUCCUAAUACAUUACUCCCUAAUAUACACAUUUCCUAAUCCAAUUUAUUACCAUAAUUAAUCACACCUACCAAACCCACCUAAACCCUCAUAGCCGUUGGGUCCUUACCUCCAUAAAUAUGAACUAUUACAACUCAAUCUCUAGGUUUUGGAUUCAAGUUCUUGGUCCUAAAUCACCAUCUUAAUCUUCUCCAAUCUGUUCUCUGAAAUCUGCAAUCGGUCAUCUGGAAUUCAAAUCAUCUAGUCAAGCUUGUUCUUCAUCUAGAGAUCAUUCAUCCGAUCUAUUAAUCGUCUUCAUCAUCUCCAGCAUCUCAUUCCUGCAAUCGUUCAAUCUUCACAAAUCUGUAUUGUCAUUUACUUUCAAUAAAACAUAUUGUCAUCAUAUAUAAAUAUCUCAUCGCUUGGAUAAUCACAUUUGAUGAUAAUACAUCAUAGUCAUACAUUUCUAACAUGGUAUCAGAGCAGUAAAAGAUCUUGCUAAUCAUACAACAACAUUUUUUUCUUCCGAAAAGAUAAAAGUUUCCUUCCAUAAGUUAAUUUUUUUUACUUACUGAUCACAAGAUCAGCCUCCCUUUUCAGCUUCAUUAAGAGGAACAAUCCAUAAUCAGGAUCAAUCUCACCAUCCAUACGAUUAAGCUAUCUGCUGUGAUAACUGUUUAAUAUUGCCCAAACUCAUAGUAGAAGUAGAAUCACUCCAUACAUCAUCCAUACCAUCCAAGCUAGAUAGCAUCCAUAUCAACAGGACUUUUCACAUCAGAAAAGUUCAAAUCCUCAUCAGUCAUUUUUUCAGCUUUCACACCUGAAAAAGAAGGGAAAACAGAGGAUAUUCAUCAUAGUAUAAUACAUCCAUCACAUUUUUUUUUUCCACAAGUAAUCAGUAUUUCUUCUUUCAUUUCAAGUAUUUUUUGUUCACAAGUUGUCAAAAGGUUUCAGAAAAGUUAGUUUAAAANNNNNNNNNNNNNNNNNNNNNNNNNNNNNNNNNNNNNNNNNNNNNNNNNNNNNNNNNNNNNNNNNNNNNNNNNNNNNNNNNNNNNNNNNNNNNNNNNNNNAAUUGACUAAGGACUCAUCAUUAGACGAGAAGGAUACUCCCCAUCCCAAACUCCAAGGUCCAGAGCUUUUUCCUUAUAGUGAGCUCUCAACCUUGCCUUCAUCCUCCUACGCCUCAGCAUCCUCACACAGUCCUUUUCCUCACACUUAAAAAUACAGUAGUCUUCACUUUCCCUAGCCUUCUCAUCAUCACUAAGUCCAUAAACACCACCAGCUCCCUCAUCAACAUUCCAGUCUUCAUCAAAACCAUCAGGUUCUUCAUCAUCAGGAUCACUGUCAAGUGGCUGUGGUCCCUGAUCUGGAUCAUCAUCCACAAAAUCAGGAUUUUCAUUAUUCCUCAUAUACUCAACCCACCAGCUCCUAGGGGCCUCAAACACUCUUCCAGCCCAAGCUGCAUUUUUCCAAGCCACAGGAUCAAAAGGAGGUUGGUAAACAGGAAACUUUCUUGGCACCACCACAUGAUCGACACAUUCCAUAGCAGCACCACCUAUGUCCUGAUAUUUUCCAGCAUCAUUCUGAUCAUCUGCAUUUAUUUAUUUUUCAGAAACAAAAUGUCAAAUGGAAAUGUUAUCUCAACAUAUUCAGACAAUCUAGGAAUCCAGUUAGUACCAUUCAAGAUGGAUGGAAACAACUGGAACAUUUGGAGUGCACAGUUUGUUAUAGCUGUGGAAUCCAAAAACAAGGAGAAGUUCUUAACAGGUGAAAUACCCACUUCCGAACAAACAAAUGAGAAAGAAUACGAGAGAUGGAAAGCAACUGAUGCUCUAGUAAGGUCUUGGAUACUAAACGGACUGAGUCAAGAACUCUCUCCAGCUUUCAUCUUCUAUAAAUCAGCACAUCGCUAUGGAAGGAAUUGAAAGCAAGAUUCCACAUACAAAAUGGACCACUAGUUUUUCAGUUACAAGUAAAAAUCAUGAAUCUCACACAAGGAGAAGAUUCAGUCUGCAACUACUACACAAAACUGACAAAAUUAUGGAAUGAAUACGACAUGAGCAGAAAAAGUGUAGAAGUGAUACAAGAAGAAAGACUCAUAAAGUUCCUGAAUGGACUAAAUGAGACUUACAAACAGCUAAGCAGACAAAUAAUGCAAAUGGAUCCUCAGCCUGAUCUAAACAGAGCAUAUUCAAUGGUGACCCAAGAUGAACAAACAAAGGACAUGGAGACACUGAAAGAAUCAGCAACAGCACUACUGGCACAAGGACCUUACAGACCACCAAGGCCACAGAAUGAAAGACCCUACUGCACUGGCUGUAAAAGGCCAGGACACACAAUCAAUACAUGCUACCAAUUGCAUGGAUACCCUGCAGAAAGACCAGCAUAUGGGAAUAAUAAACAAAAUCCCAGACCAUCCUUCCAACCACAAUUCAAUCAACAAAGAAGACCACCUUUCAGACCAUCUGGACAACCAACUAGAGGCCACAACUAUCAAAGAGCAGAAAUUUCAACAACAAUUUCAGACCACAGACCAGGGCAUACAACAACUACUCUGAGGAAGUUGAAAACCAACAGUGGCAGGAAAAUGAAAACAACUACACAAUGGAAGAAAUAAACCAGGAAUAUUAUACAACUGAAAACGACAAUGGAUAUCAAAACAACAACGCUAGUCAACCUGAAUACCAGAGUGGGAAUCAAAACAUAAUGGAACAGCUAAGAUCUCUCCUUAACCAAAAUCAAAAUUAACAAGCAGAAGAUGAAAAACAUUCUGUACAUAUGGGCAGAGCACAAGCACAACCAGAAAUGAACCCAAACCAUACUGGUAAUUAAGCCCCAAGAAUCACUCUGUUUCAAUACAAAAACUAGGAACACCACUGACUGGAUAAUAGACAGUGGAGCCACAGAUCACAUGUGUGGACCAACCAUCACACUAAGUGAAAAAAGGGCAUUAGUAAAACCUAUUGUUGUAAACCUUCCAAACUCACAAAUAACAACUGUGAGAUACAUUGGGAAUUACAAAAUAGACGAUCUGUUAACAUUACACAAUGUACUACAGAUUACUGACUUCAAUGUAAAUUUGAUAUCAGUAACAAAACUUACAAAACAGUUAAAAUGUAGCUUCUCAUUUCAUCCUGAUCAUUGUUUGAUACAUGAUUCGAAGAUGAGAUUGAUUUCUAUGGGUAAAAGGAUCGAUGGACUUUACAUGCUGAAUGGAAGAAAAGAAGCCCUGGAACAACCAAGGUCAUAUGCUGUCAACAGAGCACCAUCAGCAAACAUUUGGCACAAGAGACUGGGACACCCAUCCCAGAUUAGAUAUGAUUUAAUUAGGAAAAACAUUGCUUAUUUACCAAAAUUGGAGAAUGUAUUUUGUAAUGAAUGCCCAAUGGCAAAACAUACUAGAUUCUCUUUUCCUUCAAGCAAUACUAAAACCUCAGGAAUCUUUGAAUUGCUACAUAUAGACCUAUGUGGCCCCUACAAAGAACCAACCCACAAAGGACAUAAAUAUUUUAUGACCAUAGUGAAUGAUUUUUCUAGGGCAACAUGGACAAUACUAAUGAGAAACAAAAGCAAUACUUAUGAAAUCUUCAAAAAUUUCAUAAUAGAAGCAAUGAAUCAAUUCAAAACGAAGAUAGGAACCAUAAGGAGUGAUAAUGAAACUGAAUUCCAAUCCCAGGAGUUCAAGAUAUUUUUAGCAAAAUAUGGCAUAAGACAUCAGUUGACAUGUCCAUAUACCCCCCAACAAAACUCCAUUGUAGAAAGAAAACAUAGACACCUACUAGAUGUAGCCAGAAGCAUAAUGUUUCACUCCCAAACACCAAUAAAAUACUGGGGAGAAUGUAUAUUAACGGCAAGCUACUUAAUAAAUAGGACACCCUCUCCUGUCAUACAAAACAAAACACCAUACCACAUUCUUUUUAACAAAGAACCGAAUUACAACAGCCUAAGAGUUUUUGGAUGCUUAUGCUAUGCAAAGAACAACAAAAUCUCAGACAAGUUUGAACCAAGAGCAGUAAAAGGAGUGUUUCUUGGUUACACAACACUGACAAAGGGAUACAAAAUCCUAGAUUUAGAAAAAGGGACAAUCUUUAUAAAUAGAGAUGUAGUCUUCUACGAAACAGUCUUCCCCUUCAAAAAUCAACAAGAAAAAGAAUUCAUAAAUCCAUCCUUAAUAGAAGACAUAAAUUACACAACAAAUAAAAGAACAGAACCAUCUGCACAAAGCAAAAGAAAAGAACCAGAACAACCACCACAAAGGCCUAACAGAGAAACAAAAAGGCCUAAAAUUCUGGAAGACUACAUAUGCUAUAAUGCAAACAAAUCAAAAUACCCAAUAGAAAAAUACAUAUCCUAUGAUAAUUUAUCAGAAAAACACAAUGCUUUCCUAACAGAAAUAAACAAAGAGAAAAAACCAAAAUCAUACACACAAACAAUAAAGGACUCAAAAUGGUGUGAUGCAAUGGAAAAAGAAUUAAAAGCAUUAAAGGAAAACAAGACAUGGGAAAUUGUAAAAUUACCAGAAGGAAAGAAAGCAAUAGGAAACAAAUGGGUAUACAAAACAAAGUUCAACUCAGAUGGAACAUUAGAAAGGCACAAAGCCAGACUGGUAGCAAAAGGAUACAACCAAGUUGAAAGAAUAGACUAUACUGACACCUUUGCACCAGUCUCUAGGAUGACAACGCUAAGGACAAUAAUAGCCUUAGCCGCCCAAAACAGAUGGCAUCUACACCAGAUGGAUGUCCAAAAUGCCUUCUUACAUGGAGACCUAGAUGAAGAAGUCUUUAUGAAAAUUCCCCAAGGCUUGAAAAUUAAAAACCAAAAGGAACAGAACCUAGUAUGCAAACUGAAGAAAUCCCUAUAUGGCCUUAAACAAGCUUAUAGAAUGUGGUUUCAUAAACUAAACAGUGCACUACAAACAAUAGGGUUUAAACAAACCAAAACAGACUAUGCACUCUUCAUAAAAGAAGAACAAAACUCAAAAACAUUCAUACUAGCCUAUGUAGACGAUCUAUUGGUCACAGGGAAUAACAUUAAUCAAAUAAACAAAACAAAAAUAGAAUUGGCAAAUUUCUUCAACAUAAAAGAUCUAGGAAAAUUAAAAUACUUCUUAGGACUAGAAUUCACCUACGCACAAACAAGAAUAUACAUGGGGCAAAGAAAAUAUGUACUAGAUCUGUUAGAAUCAACUGGAUACCUAAAUUCAAAACCAACAACUACACCAGCAAAGAAAACACAAGAAAAUAACAAAAAAGAGAAUGAUGAAAGAGAACUCGAGGAUGCCACACAAUACAGAUGCAUAGUAGGAAAAUUGGUAUACCUAACAGUGACAAGACCAGACAUAACAUACGCAGUAAACACAUUAAGCCAAAACAUGGCCAAACCAAGGCAAAAAGACCUAAAUGCAGCACAUAAAGUGCUAAGAUAUAUUAAACAAUCACCUGGUUUUGCUAUCUCCUUCUCAGGGUCCAACACUUCAGGAUUAAGAGCCUUCUCAGACUCUGAUUGGGCAUCAUGUCCUUCAACAAGAAGAUCAACAACAGGGUUCGCCAUCUUCCUUGGGGGAUCCCUAAUAUCAUGGCAAACAAAAAAACAACACACAGUUGCUCGAUCAUCAGCAGAAGCAGAGUACAGGGCAUUAACAUAUACAAGUUGCAAGAUAACAUGGAUCAUCAACCUACUAAAAGAAAUCGGAACUUACAAAAAUGAGACUCCAAUACUUUACACAGACAGCAACUCUGCAGCAGCAAUAGCAAAAAACCCAGUACUACAUCAAAGAACAAAACACAUCGAGAUCGACAUUCACACAGUGCGCGACAAAAUCAUGGAGAAAAAUUUGAAGAUAGACAGAGUAGACUCAAGAAUGAAUGUAGCCGAUAUAUUCACAAAACCAGUAAUGGGAAUACUAUACAAAACACUACUGAUGCAACUUGGAUAAUCACAUUUGAUAAUAAUACAUCAUAGUCAUACAUUUCUAACAAGAAUGUUAAGACGACGAUUAGCUCGUACUGGAGAGAUGACCGGCGUUGGGUCGACAGAGUUGGCCGUCGGAGUCGCCAUCAGCAAGAAGGGGGGAAAUCACGAUUUGAACGUCGCUUAACCAAUGUGAACCGGUGGUUAAGCGAACCGGGUUUAGAGAGAAUAACUUUGUAUUAGAAUCAAUUGAUUUGAGUGUUAAUUACAAUUAGUUUUAUAAGAAUUCUUAUUAACUAAUACAUAACUAACUCUCAUUUAAAUUUAGCCCAACACUUGUAAGUAAUGAAUCCGGCCCGUAUAUAAUUGGCCUAUUCUCUUUUUAUUGAAACUAUUGUGCAUUAGCCCUCCACCUUCUUUUAUAGCUGAAACUUAAGUGUUGGGUUAAUUACCUGCACAGUAAACACUUAACAACAAAUUAUUAACAAGUACUAAACUUAAUAGAAAUUAUAUUUGGGUCCUGAGUUCAGUUUAAUAGAAAUUAAUUUUAUGAUCAUUGUUUUAGGUUUAUUAAAUCCUUUAUAGAAAUCAAGCUAGUGAGUCAGAAGUUGAUUUGUUUUUAAAUUAAUUAUUUUGGCAAGGGAGAAAAACCAAGUUGGGAUAUCUAUUCUUGCUUCUCUUUUAACUUUAAUACCUGGGAAAACCCUGCUGUCAAAUCAACCAAGCUGCAAUAAGCGAUAACAAAUCAUUUUCAGCAUCAUUUCAUUUGAGAUAUUUGCUUCAGUAGCUUGGCAAAGUAGUAAAUUAAAUAGCUGCUCCACCAGUUUAGAGAUUCUUCAAUAUAUGUUUAAAAUCAGUUCUAUUCUUGUUUCAGAUAUUCACCAUCAAAUUUGAAUAUUCAGCAACCAAGCACAGUAGCACAACCAACAACACUUUCAGCCAUCAUGUAAGAUUAGCAUGUACUUGAAAUCGAAUACUUACAAGAAGAGCACAACACCUGAUACCAUGAGAGAGUUACUCAAUUCUUGUAACUGAUUUCUAAGAAAGGUAAAUUCAACAGCUAACCCCAGACGAAUGUGUUUCAGAGUUAUUUAAACGAAAUGUGAUGCGUUCUUCGUGGAUUACUCAGACAUUGCAGAAGACAUCCAAGAAAUCACAAUAGCAAGAGAGAAACUAACCCUAGCUGAAGAUGAAUUAAGAGAGGGCGCGGCUCAAAACCAGUUCAACAAAUCUGAGCUCGGUCUGACCGGAGAUCGCCCAAACCGGAAGGGAGCAGCACCAAACCGAUUUAAAGACUACAUAAUGGGCUAGGGUCAGGUCGAGCCACUUUUGAUGAAGAAAAAUUUAAUAAAUUGCAGGGAACAAUCUAAGUAGUUAAUUAAUUACAAUUCCCAUAAUAGUAUAAAAUAUGUAAUUAUUUGGACAAAUGUUUUUUAUCAAAUUAUUUGAAC